RNAcentral lists this ribosomal RNA (440 nucleotides) under uncultured bacterium. RNAcentral's name for it is "partial 16S ribosomal RNA". It matches the Rfam family "Bacterial small subunit ribosomal RNA", at positions 338 to 795 of the family's 1533-position model. The record is from RNAcentral.
CCUACGGGAGGCAGCAGUGGGGAAUAUUGCACAAUGGGGGGAACCCUGAUGCAGCAACGCCGCGUGGGUGAAGAAGUACUUCGGUAUGUAAAGCCCUGUCAGCAGGGAAGAAAAUGACGGUACCUGACUAAGAAGCCCCGGCUAACUACGUGCCAGCAGCCGCGGUAAUACGUAGGGGGCAAGCGUUAUCCGGAUUUACUGGGUGUAAAGGGAGCGUAGACGGCAAGGCAAGUCUGAAGUGAAAGCCCGUGGCUCAACCACGGGACUGCUUUGGAAACUGUGUUGCUGGAGUGCUGGAGGGGUAAGCGGAAUUCCUAGUGUAGCGGUGAAAUGCGUAGAUAUUAGGAAGAACACCGGUGGCGAAGGCGGCUUACUGGACUGUAACUGACGUUGAGGCUCGAAGGCGUGGGGAGCAAACAGGAUUAGAUACCCCUGUAGUC